ACNANAGUACUAUGAAUGAUAUAGAAUUUAAAACUCAAAGAACUUGGCGGUGUUUUAGACCAUUUAGGGGAACCUGUCUCGUAAUCGACAGUCCACGUUACACCUGACCUUUUUUUGUUUCCAGUUUGUAUACCGUUGUCGUCAGGUAACUUUUUAGAAAGUAGAAGUUGGCUAUAUAAAUAUAAUGGUUUAGUACGUCAAAUCAAGGUGCAGCUAAUAAAAGGGGGAGGAUGGGUUACAAUUAUGGAAUCAUAAUGACGGAUAUUUAUAUGAAAGUGUAAAUUAUGAAGGCGGACUUAAAAGUAAAUUGGAUUAUGCAAACAAGUUUGAAUGCGGCUCUGAAACGUGU
This 349-nucleotide ribosomal RNA is filed under the name Oxymeris chlorata. Its description in RNAcentral is "partial 12S ribosomal RNA". Lineage: Eukaryota; Metazoa; Mollusca; Gastropoda; Neogastropoda; Terebridae. The record is from RNAcentral.